RNAcentral lists this ribosomal RNA (110 nucleotides) under Salvator merianae (Argentine black and white tegu). Lineage: Eukaryota; Metazoa; Chordata; Lepidosauria; Squamata; Teiidae. The record is from RNAcentral.
AUUGACAGCAGCAUGGAUUGACUUCCUUGGUUGAUCUCAAAAGCUAAGCAGGCUUGGACUUAUAUGGUACUUGGAUUGGAUACUACCAGGAAAUCCUAGGAUAGUCAGCU